UCCUAGCUAGCAAUCUAGGCGCCUCAUCAGCUGACCAGAGGCAGACAGACAGAUCGGGCCAGGUCAAACAAAAAGAUUCAGGGGAGAAAGGACAGACAGCUGGAGAGAGGACCCAAGGACGGGACAGAGACAGAAGCGGAGACUGGAGUGGACACUGGGCUGGACAAACAGCUGGCUGCCAGGACGGACAGAACACACAGACAAUUCAGACAUCACUCUCAGAGAGAUUAAGUCGGAGACAGCCGGCUGGAAAGCGGGGCGGACCAGUCUCCAUGUCACAUUCACCCUAAUUUCUGGGCUGUGCUCCACGUGGAAAUGUCCAACUCAUUGUCUCCCCAAGUCUGCUCCAGUUCCACCUCCUCCAGAAAACCUUCCUGGAUCUCUCUACCCCAUGACACUCGUUUAAUUGACUGUAAGCUUGGUACUGUAUUUGUCACAUCUGAGGCUUGUCACGGAGGUAAUCACUAGUAAUCUUGUGUGUCCGGAUAAUGUUCUCUUAGACCACAACUUGGGUACUCCUUGGGGCAAGGACAUACAGUCCCAGAAACCUGGGAUAGGGCUGACCACCCGGCAGGUAGAAUGUGAUCUCCUUGUCCUCAUCUUCCUGGCACUCACCACAGUGCCUGGCACA
This is a non-coding RNA of Phascolarctos cinereus (koala), 631 nucleotides long. Lineage: Eukaryota; Metazoa; Chordata; Mammalia; Diprotodontia; Phascolarctidae. The record is from RefSeq and is a predicted model, not a curated record.